This 95-nucleotide small RNA is filed under the name Klebsiella pneumoniae subsp. pneumoniae. RNAcentral's name for it is "partial RtT sRNA". It matches the Rfam family "RtT RNA", at positions 1 to 92 of the family's 130-position model. From Rfam's summary of the family: This family represents a bacterial cis-regulatory element known as RtT RNA. The exact function of RtT is unknown although it is thought that it may be involved in changing the cellular response in relation to amino acid starvation. Lineage: Bacteria; Pseudomonadati; Pseudomonadota; Gammaproteobacteria; Enterobacterales; Enterobacteriaceae. The record is from RNAcentral.
UGCAUCUGAGGCCAGUGAGGAUGAGAACCUCCGGGGUCAGGAGGUUCGACUCGAGCGAAGCGAGAGAACGUUGCGUCAGCAACGGCCCGCAGGGC